This 492-nucleotide ribosomal RNA is filed under the name uncultured bacterium. Its description in RNAcentral is "partial 16S ribosomal RNA". It matches the Rfam family "Bacterial small subunit ribosomal RNA", at positions 29 to 507 of the family's 1533-position model. The record is from RNAcentral.
AGUGAACGCUGGCGGUAGGCCUAACACAUGCAAGUCGAACGGCAGCACAGUAAGAGCUUGCUCUUACGGGUGGCGAGUGGCGGACGGGUGCGGAAUACAUCGGAAUCUACUUUUUCGUGGGGGAUAACGUAGGGAAACUUACGCUAAUACCGCAUACGACCUACGGGUGAAAGCAGGGGAUCUUCGGACCCUGCGCGAUUGAAUGAGCCGAUGUCGGAUUAGCUAGUUGGCGGGGCAAAGGCCCACCAAGGCGACGAUCCGUAGCUGGUCUGAGAGGAUGAUCAGCCACACUGGAACUGAGACACGGUCCAGACUCCUACGGGAGGCAGCAGUGGGGAAUAUUGGACAAUGGGCGCAAGCCUGAUCCAGCCAUACCGCGUGGGUGAAGAAGGCCUUCGGGUUGUAAAGCCCUUUUGUUGGGAAAGAAAAGCAGCAGGUUAAUACCCCGCUGUUCUGACGGUACCCAAAGAAUAAGCACCGGCUAACUUCGUG